Molecule: ribosomal RNA, 394 nt
Filed under: Spongodiscus sp.
Lineage: Eukaryota; Polycystinea; Spumellaria; Spongodiscidae
Description: partial small subunit ribosomal RNA
Rfam family: Eukaryotic small subunit ribosomal RNA
Source: RNAcentral
AGCUCCAAUAGCGUAUACUAAAGUUGUUGCAGUUAAAAAGCUCGUAGUUGGAUUUCUGUGUUGGUGUGACGGCUUGUGGACCCACUGGGCACAUGAGAUCAGUUUACAUCGACGCAUCUUGCCACGAACUGCUCUGACCUUAAUUGGCCGGGGUUUCAGGGACUGGCUCGUUUACUUUGAGAAAAAUAGAGUGUUCAAAGCAGGCAUUUGCCUUGAAUAUGUUAGCAUGGAAUAAUAACAUAGGACUUUGGUUCUAUUUUGUUGGUAUUUGGGGACCGAAGUAAUGAUUGAUAGGGACCGUUGGGGGCAUCCGUAUUCUGAAGCGAGCGGUGAAAUGCAUAGACCUUUGGAAGACGAACAACUGCGAAAGCAUUUGCCAAGGAGGUUCUCUUUA